Molecule: transfer RNA, 72 nt
Filed under: Bos taurus (domestic cattle)
Lineage: Eukaryota; Metazoa; Chordata; Mammalia; Artiodactyla; Bovidae
Also listed under: 2 other names
Rfam family: tRNA
About the family: Transfer RNA (tRNA) molecules are approximately 80 nucleotides in length. Their secondary structure includes four short double-helical elements and three loops (D, anti-codon, and T loops). Further hydrogen bonds mediate the characteristic L-shaped molecular structure. tRNAs have two regions of fundamental functional importance: the anti-codon, which is responsible for specific mRNA codon recognition, and the 3' end, to which the tRNAs corresponding amino acid is attached (by aminoacyl-tRNA synthetases). tRNAs cope with the degeneracy of the genetic code in two manners: having more than one tRNA (with a specific anti-codon) for a particular amino acid; and 'wobble' base-pairing, i.e. permitting non-standard base-pairing at the 3rd anti-codon position.
Source: Rfam by way of RNAcentral
UCCCUGAUGAUCCAGUGGCUAAGACUCUGCACUCCCAAUGCGGGGGCCUGAGUUCAGUCCCUGGUCAGGGAA